Molecule: non-coding RNA, 1259 nt
Organism: Linepithema humile (Argentine ant)
Lineage: Eukaryota; Metazoa; Arthropoda; Insecta; Hymenoptera; Formicidae
Source: RefSeq, a predicted model, not a curated record
CGUGGUGGGAGGGCUCAGUACCCGGAUGGUUUAUCCUGAAGGGGAAGCUAACGUACCCAAACUUUUGUGUCGCGUUUCGAAUCGUCGUACUCGUUCCGUCGUAAUUUCAUAACAUAAUAAAACGCGCGUCGGGAGUGCGGGAGUGCCGUUUUACCGGGAGUGCCGUGACAGUGUCGCGCGAGUACGAAACGCCGUAUUCUAGCCAGUGAUGCGCUGUCGUGGAAAUAAAGUUGCGUCUGCGCACUAAGCAAACGCUUUGAACCCUCAGUAAUUCACUCUCUUUUUUCACAAUAUCAGCUGAUUUCAAUUGUAAUUGAUUAUAAUGCACUAUAAUAUGUCGUGUUUCACUAAAAACGCGGGAAAACUAUCAUAUCCCCUAUAGUACACCUAGAUACAUCUGUGGUAGCAGUCGACGUCUAGCUGUGACGUCAGCUUACGCAUGCGCAUGGAGGUUCUAUCCGGGAAAAAAUUUCACGACAGCGCAUCACUGAUUCUAGCGAAUCUUAAGACGAACGCAUUCUGUCAAAUGAUACAAUAAAUAUUGGGACACGAUCGCGAACCUCUUUCGAGGGGGGCUUUCUUCUCGACUUUUGGCUUGGCUCGAGGGAGGGAAGGAUCGAUUUUUAUCAUGGGAUCCCGACUGGAUCGGACUCCCUCAGCCCGCUAACAUAUGUCAUGCAUGGAGUUGCUUAAUUGCAACGAUGUAACAUAUGAUCGACGGCAUUGAAGUCAACCCAGCGACUUUGCUAGUUCCGUCUGUUUGGCACCGAAAUGCUGCUGGGAUGCUCUGUAUCCGAUCGGUUGACCCCAUGACUAAUCGCACCCCUUACCUUCUUCGGGCUUAUGCCUUCUGCUUUGAGAGAAUCGUGCCCCAAUUGAAAAGUGCGGUCGUCUGAAACGCGGACGGGAUUCGCGCGUAACGUCGCAUCUUGGACAAUUCGGUUCGAUUCACUUGCGACGUCGGGAAUGCCGUUUAAAGUAAGUCGAGCGAUUUUCGUAUUCGGGUACGCACGCGAGCAAGGCGUGCGCCGCGAACGCGUGUGAGUUAGUGUGGGUUAGUGUGAGUGAGUGCCUCAAAGGACCACUGACAACGAGAGGAGGAGGAGGCCUAGGAGGCAUCAGGCGUCAGCAGAGCAUCGAAACGAUCGAUUGGAUUACAACUUCGCUGUGCUGCACAUCGUGCCGAAAAAAAAGAAUAUCUGCGACGAGAUCAUCCGAGCAGGAGAAUCGUGGAUAACAGAGAUAUGAUAAGGUAAGAA